This 400-nucleotide ribosomal RNA is filed under the name uncultured bacterium. Its description in RNAcentral is "bacterial SSU rRNA". It matches the Rfam family "Bacterial small subunit ribosomal RNA", at positions 28 to 418 of the family's 1533-position model. The record is from RNAcentral.
GAUGAACGCUAGCUACAGGCUUAACACAUGCAAGUCGAGGGGCAGCAGGGAUUUAGCUUGCUAAAUCCGCUGGCGACCGGCGCACGGGUGCGUAACGCGUAUCCAACUUUCCCGUUACUCAGGGAUAGCCUUCCGAAAGGGAGAUUAAUACCUGAUGGUGUUUGAAAUUCGCAUGUUCUUCAAACUAAAGAUUUAUCGGUAACGGAUAGGGAUGCGUGACAUUAGAUAGUAGGCGGGGUAACGGCCCACCUAGUCUACGAUGUCUAGGGGUUCUGAGAGGAAGGUCCCCCCAGACUGGAACUGAGACACGGUCCAGACUCCUACGGGAGGCAGCAGUGAGGAAUAUUGGUCAAUGGUCGGAAGACUGAACCAGCCAAGUAGCGUGAAGGAUGAAGGUUCU